UACGUAGGGAGCAAGCGUUGUUCGGAUUUACUGGGCGUAAAGGGCGCGUAGGCGGCAAUUCAAGUCAUCUGUGAAAUCUCCGGGCUUAACUCGGAACGGUCAGAUGAUACUGCUUUGCUAGAGUGCAGAAGGGGCAAUCGGAAUUCUCGGUGUAGCGGUGAAAUGCGUAGAUAUCGAGAGGAACACCAAAGGUGAAGACGGGUUGCUGGGCUGACACUGACGCUGAGGCGCGAAAGCCAGGGGAGCAAACGGG
RNAcentral lists this ribosomal RNA (253 nucleotides) under uncultured bacterium. Its description in RNAcentral is "partial 16S ribosomal RNA". It matches the Rfam family "Bacterial small subunit ribosomal RNA", at positions 524 to 776 of the family's 1533-position model. The record is from RNAcentral.